GAUGAACGCUGGCGGCGUGCCUAAUACAUGCAAGUCGAGCGAACAGACGAUGAGCUUUCUCCUCUGACGUUAGCGGCUGACGGGUGAGUAACACGUGGAUCACCUUCCUAUAUUACUUGGAUAACUUCGUGAAACCGGUUCCAAUACCAGCUCAUAUAUUUUACCGCUUGGAUCAAUAGUUCAUGACGGUUUUGCUGUUACUUAUAGAUGGUUUCGCGUCGCAUUAGCUAGUUGGUAAGGUACCGGCUUACCAAGGCAACGAUGCGUAGCCGACCUGAGAGGAUGAUCAGCCACACUGGAACUGAGACACGGUCCAGACUCCUACGGGAGGCAGCAGUAGGGAAUAUUGCGCAAUGGGCGAAAGCCUGACGGAGCAACGCCGCGUGAGUGAUGAAGGUCUUCGGAUCGUAAAGCUCUGUUGUUGGGAAAGAAAAAAUGUGGAAGUAAAUAUGCACGUCUUGACGGUACCUAAAGAGAAAGCAACGGCUAACUACGUG
This 497-nucleotide ribosomal RNA is filed under the name uncultured bacterium. RNAcentral describes it as "partial 16S ribosomal RNA". It matches the Rfam family "Bacterial small subunit ribosomal RNA", at positions 28 to 507 of the family's 1533-position model. The record is from RNAcentral.